CCUACGGGUGGCUGCAGUCGAGAAUCUUCGGCAAUGGGCGAAAGCCUGACCGAGCGACGCCGCGUGCGGGAUGAAGGCCUUCGGGUUGUAAACCGCUGUCAAUGGGGAGGAAGGCUGCGUGAAGAGCGCAGUUUGACCUAUCUUUGGAGGAAGGACGGGCUAAGUUCGUGCCAGCAGCCGCGGUAAGACGAACCGUCCAAACGUUAUUCGGAAUUACUGGGCUUAAAGGGUGCGUAGGCGGUGCUACAAGUCGGGUGUGAAAUCCCUCAGCUUAA
This 275-nucleotide ribosomal RNA is filed under the name uncultured bacterium. RNAcentral describes it as "partial 16S ribosomal RNA". It matches the Rfam family "Bacterial small subunit ribosomal RNA", at positions 338 to 612 of the family's 1533-position model. The record is from RNAcentral.